GUACUGGUUUCGACGGGGAUGUUGAAGUUUGGGAAGCCAUCCGCAGACUCCGUGACUGCGUCAUCAACAUGGAACCUAAAUAUAAAUGCAGACGAUAAUAGUUUAGCAUACGCUGCCUAAGGGCAGCUGUCGAUCCGGAAUGACCUGCCGUUCCGGGGUUCGGCAUCAUGGAGGCGGGAAAGUCCAGUGCCAAAGCUUUGAGGCCCUGGAACAUUUAUGAAGCUACUAAAGGCAUGAGCCUGCUGCCGGGCAUAUGCCGGAGGGAAUGUUCAGUACAGCAGCUGUGAUGGGAGAAGCCUGAAGGGAUAUGUUUUCGGACGCGGGUUCGAUUCCCGCCUGGUCCACU
RNAcentral lists this transfer-messenger RNA (346 nucleotides) under bovine gut metagenome. It matches the Rfam family "transfer-messenger RNA". From Rfam's summary of the family: Bacterial tmRNA, also known as 10Sa RNA or SsrA, is named for its dual tRNA and mRNA-like properties. The record is from RNAcentral.